GCCAGGUACUGAAAUGGAGAUAAAUCUUUCUGGAAGCUCCUGCAAUGGGACCUUGGAUAAUGGAGCAGAGGGGAGAAUUAACGUUUCCGGGGCUCCUCUGUGUUAUUGACUGACAUUGCGACCCUCGCUCGCUCAGAAUAACGCCUCUAAUUUAUUUAGUACCCACUCUGGGUCACUUAACUUGCUGGGUACCUGCUCUUGCUUCUACCUCUGCCUGUGUUCUGCUUAACACGGGGUCACUGAAAACAGACUCUCCUGGGGUAUACUAGGCCUCUGCGGGACAGGACCCCUAAAUGCCAGCCUGAGCCCAUCGAACAAGACGUCUUCAGCCUUGACCACAGACUCUGCUUUCCCUUCUGUCCUGCUCACUGACCUCAGCUGUACUCGGAAUUAGGCCCCUGAGUAUCUCCCCUUUUAUUAUACAAGCAGGGAUUUGGGCUUCAUAUCCCCCUCUGACUGGGGCUCCCUGAAGCAGGACUGUGUCUCCCCUCAGACCGGGGCUCCCCGAGGACGGGGCUCUGUCUCCCGCCUUCUUUACGUCUCUUCCCCUCCAGCUCCACCUCCAUGUUUCAGGAGUGGCUCUACAUUUGGGAGUUGGAGACUCUGCAUGGUACCGUGAAUGCCCAGGAGCUGCUUGCCUCCCCGUCCCUUUUACGGAUGACCUUGGCCUCCAGGAAGCAAAGAAAACAACUUCCAUAGAGAUACCCAGAAGGGCUCUGCCAGGAAGAUGCUGUCAGACCUUUGCUAUCUGGAGGACAACAGGUACCAGCUGGUUAAGCCAAUCAGUGGAUAAAGUCAUCAAAACAACAUCAGAGGAAGGAGACCAGCAGGACUGUCUCCAUAGUUGCCGCAUUCUGGCUUAGGAACACUCAGAACCCUACCGCCCAUCCCGCCUGAGCGUACACUGGGCUGGAGGGAGCAAGGCAACCACCAGAGAAGCCAACUCAAGACUGCAAAUAUCAGCCACAGACAUUCCCAAAGUGAACACUCCACUGGCCGGAGUCUGAAUUCCUGCCUUUUCAGGACUUUAAUGUCAUCAAGAAUAAAAGUACUUUUCUUUUGUCUA
Molecule: long non-coding RNA, 1066 nt
Organism: Balaenoptera ricei (Rice's whale)
Lineage: Eukaryota; Metazoa; Chordata; Mammalia; Artiodactyla; Balaenopteridae
Exons: 2
Source: RefSeq, a predicted model, not a curated record